Molecule: ribosomal RNA, 228 nt
Filed under: Clostridioides difficile
Lineage: Bacteria; Bacillati; Bacillota; Clostridia; Peptostreptococcales; Peptostreptococcaceae
Description: partial 16S ribosomal RNA
Rfam family: Bacterial small subunit ribosomal RNA
Source: RNAcentral
UUAAGUUGGGCACUCUAGAGAGACUGCCAGGGAUAACCUGGAGGAAGGUGGGGAUGACGUCAAAUCAUCAUGCCCCUUAUGCUUAGGGCUACACACGUGCUACAAUGGGUAGUACAGAGGGUUGCAAAGCCGUAAGGUGGAGCUAAUCCCUUAAAGCUACUCUCAGUUCGGAUUGUAGGCUGAAACUCGCCUACAUGAAGCUGGAGUUACUAGUAAUCGCAGAUCAGA